GGCAUUUGUUUUUGCCAUAGUAAAUACUUAAAGCAGAUGUACAAUCCAUGCUCAAUGGCCAUGUUAGGCCCUUUUGGAAAAAACAGUUCAGGCUG
This is a non-coding RNA of Ceratotherium simum simum (southern white rhinoceros), 95 nucleotides long. NCBI's taxonomy places the organism in Eukaryota, Metazoa, Chordata, Mammalia, Perissodactyla, Rhinocerotidae. The record is from RefSeq and is a predicted model, not a curated record.